GAUGAACGCUGGCGGCGUGCCUAAUACAUGCAAGUCGAGCGAACGGACGAGAAGCUUGCUUCUCUGAUGUUAGCGGCGGACGGGUGAGUAACACGUGGAUAACCUACCUAUAAGACUGGGAUAACUUCGGGAAACCGGAGCUAAUACCGGAUAAUAUUUUGAACCGCAUGGUUCAAAAGUGAAAGACGGUUUUGCUGUCACUUAUAGAUGGAUCCGCGCUGCAUUAGCUAGUUGGUAAGGUAACGGCUUACCAAGGCGACGAUGCGUAGCCGACCUGAGAGGGUGAUCGGCCACACUGGAACUGAGACACGGUCCAGACUCCUACGGGAGGCAGCAGUAGGGAAUCUUCCGCAAUGGGCGAAAGCCUGACGGAGCAACGCCGCGUGAGUGAUGAAGGUCUUCGGAUCGUAAAACUCUGUUAUUAGGGAAGAACAUAUGUGUAAGUAACUAUGCACAUCUUGACGGUACCUAAUCAGAAAGCCACGGCUAACUACGUG
RNAcentral lists this ribosomal RNA (497 nucleotides) under uncultured bacterium. RNAcentral's name for it is "partial 16S ribosomal RNA". It matches the Rfam family "Bacterial small subunit ribosomal RNA", at positions 28 to 507 of the family's 1533-position model. The record is from RNAcentral.